UCAAGUAACAAUUUUAAUACUAUAUACAUAUAACUUCUUAUAGAUUUUUCCAGCAUUUCCUAAAAUUUUCAUUUCAUCAAGACUGGUGUUCACAAUUUUUGAUAUUUUUACAAAAUAUCCCACAUCAAAUAAUAAUAUAGGAUUCCAAACUUUCAAAUCAUAUGCUACAACCAUAUUCUCAUCCCACCAACUCUUUUAACUUAACUUUCUUUGUGAAAAUGAAAAAUCACUUAUUCAGCGAUCUCAUUGCCCAACUCUUUUUCUGUUAACAAGAGAAACAAAGUUUAUAAUACAAGCAAGAAUCAAGUCUAUAGUUUUACCUAAUGGAUUAAGGAGUCACCAUUUGAAAAUCAAGUUUUUAUUUGGUUCAUGGUUAGAUGCUAGAUCCCAAAAUGUUAAUACGCAAGAAGCCCUCAGAUCUCAUACACGGUAAGGCUCAUGGUUUUCAUUAAAGGCCAGUCCACACCUUCAAAAUAAUAAUAAUAAUAAUAAUAAUUGUCAUAACACAGAGGCUGAUGAAGAAGGAGGAGAAGGGGGAGGCUAUUAAUGAAAACCAUAUAACCACACAUGAGUUUUCCAUCAUUGGGCAUUUGCUCACCACAAUGAAAAAGAUAACCACAAUUUCGGAUAUCCACCUGUGAUUCACUAGUGAUAUAAUGAGUUCAUCAAUCUAUACCAAUUGACCUUUUUAAAUAAACCCAUUCGAUGAUUCGAUUUCUUGAAAGGCAACAAGCUGAGGCAAAAAGCUUCUUGCUUAGCAGAUUGUCUGAAGUUCCAACUUGCAUAUAAACUCAUGCUCUUCAAAAAAGCAAACAUAGAUCUUUCUCAAAAGGCAAUAUUAAAAAACAAAGAAGUAAAAAUUCAGUGGGAGUGGUAAUGGCAUAUGAAAAUUUAAAACCAUAACUUUCAUCACAUGCUAAAACUGGGUUGAUCUAAAAGGAAAUGUAAGAGAAGUGAAGGACAAAAAAAAGAAAGAACCAGACAAUAACAUCUAUUGAUAGCCCUCAGAUCUCAUAGCUAUUAUUAGUCAUCGUCAGUUAUAACAAACUGAUUCUUAUUAAGAGCCUCCACAUCUUCAACCACAGUAGAAAAGAGAGAUAGAGAGAGAGAGAGAGAGAGAAAGAGAGAGGUGGUGGUGGUGAGGCUGAUGGUGAGGAUGAGAGUAAAGGCUCCUAAUAAAAAUCAAUUUAAACCCUCCACAAAAUAAGUUUUCCAUCAUCGGGCAGAUGUUCAUAUUGAUAUUAUUGUCGACUGAAAAAUCAGGAUACACCUAUAAUAAGAGAGGACUGCAUGCAAGAAAACAGUUCAUUUAUAAAAAAUAAAAAUAAAAAAACAGAAAGAAAGAUAAAAGAUGAAAUAAGAAAACCAAUUCAUAAACAAACAAAAUGUGUAAUUAUACUAAAACAAUUUGAGCUUAAAGCAGAAGUACAACAGGAAAAAUACAACAGCAGCUUAAACCUAUAAUCAGUUUGGGUGGGUCAGAUGUGUUCAGCUAAAUAAUGUUUCAAUGAUUAAAUGAAAUAGGACCAUAUGAAAAAUUAUGCAGUAUCUGCCCACCAAUAACCAAAAGAAAUAAACAAGGGCAAAUCCCAAAUAAAUAAAUUUUCAAAUCUCAAACCAUCAAUCUAAAUUAAGCUAUAGAAGUAAUAAUGCCAAGAAGAACAUCAACAGAAUACUAGAAAAAUCCAAGGAAUAAAUAAUGGAUAGGAUUAAAUGGAUGCAAUAUCCUCAAGAAAUGGACACCUGUAAAUACCACAAAAGCAAAUAGCUUACAAUUGGUCUAUAUCUUGUCAUAGCUGAGCACAUCUAUAAGAUAUACACACCACCAAAAUAACUUUAUUCUACUACAUAAUGUUGUUUAAUCAUAACAUCAACUUAUUCAAAUAUGCAAAAGGCAGUUAGUACAGUUCACCUGCUGAUCUUCAAGACUUAAACCAACCAGCACUGUACCCAUAUGAGAUAAGAAACACUCCAUUCACAUAAGCUUCCAGCACUAGUACCAUAGAAAAAUAAUACACAGUGCUAACUUCAACAUCACCCCCAUAGGCAUCGAAAUCUCAGAAAAUAACAAGACAAAACCAUUGGAUAUAACAAUAGUCUCCAAAACAAGUCUCAACUGGGCGAGUAUCAGUGAGAACUUCAUUCCCAAGAUUAAGAGCCAUUCAAAAUACUAGAAAAGCUCAAACUUCAUAUGAGACAAAAUGGGUUUUUUUUUUUUUUUUGCAAAUCAAGUUUCCAUUCGAAAAACAUAGAUAUGAAGAGUACAUUUACAUGGUUCUCAUUAACCUAAAAAGAUUGUCAACAGUUCAAUGUCUUAGAUGCCAUAUUACAAUAUAUAAACAAGUAAAGCCCUCAGAUCUCAUAGCUACCAAUAUUCAUAGAAGGUAAAGCUUGUAAUUUUCAUUAGAAGCCAAUCCACAACUUGAUAAUAAUAAGAAUGCUAACAGCAGUAGUAAGAAGAAGAAGAAGAAGAAGAAGAAGAAGAAGAUGAUGAUGAUGAUGAUGAGGGAGGCUCCUAGUGAAAACCACAGCAACCACACCAAAUAUGAGAAUUCCAUCAUAGGGCAGAUGGCCAAGAUUCAAAAGCUUUGUCAUCCAUGGUUUAUAGAAUGAAAUAGUCCAGAUAAUAAGAACAUAAAAGAGAGCAUAAUCACAAAGGAAGGAAUGGUAAGAAGAGGUCAGAAGAGCCAAAGAAGAAACGAGCAUAAAGACUCCCGCAGAAACCAUAAACAAAGCUGCUUCGGAAAAACACAUUCAGAAUUACAAGGAAGCAGAUUUCACAAUCAAUAGUAAUUGUAACAGAAGUUCUCAUUUGUUUAAAAGACAAUAAUAACACACGUUGUGCAUUAUGGGAUCAAAGAAAAGAUCAAGAAGCAACCCAUGUUAAGGACUUGCCUGACUUUUAGGGGAAAAAAAAAGGUGAUCAUAGGUACAACAAAGCACUUAAAACAGUGUAGACAAACUUGAUAACGCAACUUGGCCCCUCAAAUUUGUUGAAAAAUGGUGAGACUGAGGUUCCGACUAGUGCGUUUUUUAAUGAACCACACUGACCUCUCAAAAGGCUAUCUUAAUUAUAUAAUUCUGUGAAUAAAAAGGUCAAAACAUGCACAUAGUUAAAUUGAUCUCAAAUAAUAGCAGGAUAACAAAAUAAAGCACCCAUCACGUGUGUGACCCAUAGGAUGAAAAUCCGUUGCACCAAGUAAUUUCACUAGUCUUAACUCAGGUCGUAAGGGUAUAUUUCCAAUCAUUCAAAAAGUCAGCAACUUAAUUCAUGUAAUUGAAACUCCACCAGUAACCUAAUGACACCAAAAUAACAAUGUGAUAGUUGUCUGAUAUUUAAACCAAUCGAAAUCCAUUCUGAGGCAGUAGCAAUGAUAGAAGAAAACAUUUCAAUAGUUAUACCUAAACCCGAUUCAAAAACCAAAACACUUGAUCAAAUGAAACAAAAAAGAAAGGACGCAAUGGAUAGAAAAUCGCAAAAAAAAAAAAAAAACAUAGACAAAAAUAUACUAAAAAAGCCCUCAGAUCUCAUAGCUAUCAUAAGUCAUUGUUAGUAAAACAAACCGGUUUUUAUUAAGAGCCUUUCCACAUCUUUAUCCAUACUAAAGAGAAUGUGAAAGAUUGAGGGAGGAAGAGGAGAGAUAGAGAGAGAGAGAGAGAGAGAGAGAAAGCGAGAGAGAGAGAGAGAGAAGACAGAUUAAGAAGAAUAUGGCGAGGAUGAUAGUCAAGGCUCCUAACAAAAACGACUGCAACCCCCUCCAUAGAAUGAGUUUUCCAUCAUUGGGCAGAUGAAUUGAAAUAAUAACUAAUAAUCAGAACACCAGCCAUGAAUGCUUGUAAGAAACAAUUAUAAGUUUAAAAGAUUAAUUAAAAAAUUAAAAUAUAUAUAUAUCAUAAAAGAAAACAUAAUGAUCAAAACAAAUUGAAGACCACAAUAUUCUCCCUAUCUGAAGAUAAAUGAAACAAGACAUCAAGAUUUGUUUUCUUGGUUAAUAUUCAAAUAUGUUGACAAAACCAACAAAAACUCCAUACCAAAAAAGUAAUUGCAACAUUUAAAGGCAAAUGAUAUGAGAAGGGUGGUCAGAUACAGCUUUCUAGGCUAGCAUUUCCAUCAAUAUUACUCAGAGCCCAGUGCAUAUCAUCAUUCGUUCUAAAAAAUCAACAAAAGAAAGGAUAAAAAUGUCCAUUGAAUAAAACUCUAUUAUUCAAGAAAAAUCUUGCAACUGCAAGAUCCAUAAAAUCGACACCGCAUUUGAUGAAAAUCCUCAGAUCUCAUGCCUUUGAACAAACAAUCUAGGGUUUUGUACUCAAUCGCAUUCAUCAAAACCCUUUUCUAUAUAACACAGUAAUUCAUAAUAAAAACUAACAAACAACGUAGCCAUCCGACAGCUCCGCAGCCACCGUCGCAGGAGUCGUCAGCCCGGAGUGCGAGCAGAGGUAGAUGGGAUCAUGGGAAGAGGUAUAGAAUGACGUACGUAGGGUUUUAUCGCCCAUUUAUAGGCAGAGUUGAAUUCCUAAAAGAACCCUGGAUUUAGUCGUAAAUAUCUAGGUUCACCCGAUCUGGGCUUUUCUUUGGGUUUGGGCUUAUUUGAUAUAUCGAAAGUGAUGGGCCAGGCUAAGCUUUCGUGGGUUGUAUU
This 4637-nucleotide long non-coding RNA is filed under the name Vitis vinifera (wine grape). Its description in RNAcentral is "long non-coding RNA (VVIN_LNC006177)". The record is from RNAcentral. Lineage: Eukaryota; Viridiplantae; Streptophyta; Magnoliopsida; Vitales; Vitaceae.